This 492-nucleotide ribosomal RNA is filed under the name uncultured bacterium. RNAcentral describes it as "partial 16S ribosomal RNA". It matches the Rfam family "Bacterial small subunit ribosomal RNA", at positions 29 to 507 of the family's 1533-position model. The record is from RNAcentral.
AGUGAACGCUGGCGGUAGGCCUAACACAUGCAAGUCGAACGGCAGCACAGUAAGAGCUUGCUCUUACGGGUGGCGAGUGGCGGACGGGUGAGGAAUACAUCGGAAUCUACUUUUUCGUGGGGGAUAACGUAGGGAAACUUACGCUAAUACCGCAUACGACCUACGGGUGAAAGCAGGGGAUCUUCGGACCUUGCGCGAUUGAAUGAGCCGAUGUCGGAUUAGCUAGUUGGCGGGGUAAAGGCCCACCAAGGCGACGAUCCGUAGCUGGUCUGAGAGGAUGAUCAGCCACACUGGAACAGAGACUCGGUCCACACUCCUACGGGAGGCAGCAGUGGGGAAUAUUGGACAAUGGACGCAAGCCUUAUCCAGCCAUACCGCGUAGGUGAUGAAGGCCUUCGGGUUGUAAAGCCCUUUUGUUGGGAAAGAAGAGCAGCAGGUUAAUACCCCGCUGUUCUGACGGUACCCAAAGAAUAAGCACCGGCUAACUUCGUG